RNAcentral lists this ribosomal RNA (603 nucleotides) under Zhuangella nanningensis. RNAcentral's name for it is "eukaryotic LSU rRNA". It matches the Rfam family "Eukaryotic large subunit ribosomal RNA", at positions 1363 to 1840 of the family's 3401-position model. Lineage: Eukaryota; Metazoa; Arthropoda; Insecta; Hemiptera; Delphacidae. The record is from RNAcentral.
GCCGUUAAGUCUUGACGAGUAAGAGGGUCGCGACGGUGAGCGCAGAAGGGUCAGGGCGAGAGCCUGCCUGGAGCCGCCGUUGGUGCAGAUCUUGGUGGUAGUAGCAAAUACUCUAGCGAGGGCCUGGAGGACUGACGUGGAGAAGGGUUUCUUGUGAACAGCCGUUGCACAAGAGUCAGUCGACCCUGAGCCCUAGGAGAAAUCCGAUGACGAUGGGUGGCUUGACAAAAAAAUAAUCCACAGUCUGUUUAUAGAACUGAGAGUUAGUAGUAGUAAGGAUAUACUUAUUACACAACACCAGUAAUAAAACAGCUCCUAUCGGGCAAAAGGGAAUCCGGUUCCUAUUCCGGAACCCGGCUGCGUAACCGCUACUUUGCGGGCACUUGCUUGCGAGCGCUCGUCGGGGUAACCCAAACUGGCCUGGAGACGCCGGCGGGGGGUCUGGAAAGAGUUUUCUUUUCUUUAUAAGCGUUCGAGUACCCUGGAAUCCUAUAGCAGGGAGAUAGGGUUUGGAAUGCGAAGAGCACCGCAGUUGCGGCGGUGUCCGGACCUUCCCCCCGGACCUUGAAAAUCCAGGUGAGGGCCACGCGGAAGUCGCGCCGG